ACAGGUGGCACCCAGGUGCAAUCGGUGACUGUUGAACCGGGUACUGGUACUUCCGCUAAAGUGGGAGCAGGGGAGACAAUGAAAGGUCAAACCAUCGUACAAGAUGACCCAGCGGAUAUCCGGCCUGUUUUAUGCCCACCGCCAAGGCAUUCUUCCUCCCAUUCUACCCAAGACAAUAUUUCCUGCACAACACAACAUUCUCAUCUGAAUACAGCUGGUCCAUCACGUCUACGCUCUUCUCGGCCUAAAAAAACAGAAGGUGUUCGUAUACGUACCCCACGUAGGG
Long non-coding RNA from Helianthus annuus (common sunflower), 286 nucleotides. RefSeq lists it as uncharacterized. Lineage: Eukaryota; Viridiplantae; Streptophyta; Magnoliopsida; Asterales; Asteraceae. The transcript is spliced from 4 exons. The record is from RefSeq and is a predicted model, not a curated record.